Molecule: long non-coding RNA, 1870 nt
Organism: Rosa chinensis
Lineage: Eukaryota; Viridiplantae; Streptophyta; Magnoliopsida; Rosales; Rosaceae
Exons: 5
Source: RefSeq, a predicted model, not a curated record
UUUAUGGUGGUUGUAAAAAAUCCAGCCAAUUUGGUUCUCGUUUCAAAUUAGGUCAACUAUAGGUCAAACUUAGUUACUCUUAUAAACCUAUAUUUAUAUAUCAUAGACUUCAAAGAGCAACCACUAUCAAUUAAAAGAAAAUGGAAAAACCAACUGUUGGAUGAGAUUAUUACUAUAAAUUAUGAAUGUGGUAAAAAAAUAUAGCCAAUUUCACCAUUUUUUCGAAUCCGAUCGAAUUGGUCAACCUUCGUCACUUGUAUGUUUUCUUGGUUAACCGAUGGCGUGACGACCGUGAAAUAUGAUUGCAUAGGGGGUGGUACUCUAGACACUACACAUGCAAUUUAAUUUUGACAAUCUAACUGUUCAAACUUUAGAUCUUUAUAUAUAGAUUGUCUAUGCAAAAUACUCGGACCUUCAUACAUAGAUUGUAUAUGCAAAACCUUUUACAAAAUAAUCAUUUAGUUAGCCAUUAUCAUAACAUUAGCCUUAAAACCUAACCCCUAAUCCCUAAACUCUUAAACCUAAACCCUAAACUCUAAACUCUAAAUCCUAAACCCUAAACGUACCCUAAUCCCUAAACCCUAAACCUAAACUUUAUAUUUUUAUAUUGUAUAUACAAAACCUUUUUCAAACUGAAAAUCAUUUAGUUAACUAUUGUCGUGACCUAAGUCUUGAAUCCCCUAAACCCUAAAGAGAAAGAUUAAAGCGGGCUCUUAAAAAAACCAAAAAAAAAUUGAAAGUGGAGCAUUUAAAUGUUCAAAGUGGCAAUGAAAAAAGAAAUGGUGCCCAAGACGAAAAUAAAAAACUUAAUUAAUAGAGAAACACGAUUAAAAAAAUAAAAAUAAAACCCAAUUCUCUCGACCCUGGCUUUCUCUUUCUCUCGCCUUCUCGUCAAUUUCUUCUGGGUUGAUUAGGGUUUUGCUUCUUCACUACAAUUCUCUCCAUCCUUAGUUUCUUUUUGUUUCAAUUUGGAGAAAUCCAAUCAAAGAUGCCCCAAAAUCCCCAAAUCGACUGCCCAAACCCCAAAAUUGCAUCUUUUCCGCAAUUCCAAUCAGCAUGAUUCCUGUGAGACUCAAGCGGAAGGAAAUGGAGGUCCGAUUCGCGACAAAACCGAAGGCAGUGGCGCUACUACAUCGGCGACGACAACGCCAGGUCGUCAGAGGAGAUGAAGUCGUUGAGCCAGAUCUUGAGGUUCAGAGAGGUGGACUCGCACCUUGUGCGUCGACGUUGUGAUUUUGACCCAGCCAGUCUUGCCUCCCUCGCUGCUCCAAAAUUUCUGAGCAGGACCAUGCGAAGCGUAGUCGUCUUCGUCAAACACAGUCGACUCGGAAGCUUAAGAACAAGAACUUGAAUUUGGCUCCUUGUACUCUGCUUGUUGAAUUUAUCAGUUGAAGCUUGUAGGAGAAACAUCAAGUUCAAUGGUUCAGUUGCAUGUUCAAAGGUGGAAUCACAUCUUGUUGACGCUCGUGUGCAUAUGCUCACCAACCAAAAAGAAUGUGAUGUGUGUAAUGGUUCAGGGAAGGGCACAUAAGGAGCAAUCUGGGUUUGAUUGUCAAGAUGCAAUUAGAUUCCAGUAAGGUUUUGUUGAUAUUUGGCACUCCAACUAGAUCUUUGCCAAUGAGUCACUUGAAUAUCACAAAACCUGUGCAGGCGUGUUGUGAAGGUACUGGACAUGAAGUUUAAUCUUCCAUUUUGAAGAGCCUUGUGAAUAAUGUGAAGAUGUGUGAGGCUUGUCCCGUUAAGCUUUUUUGAAUAAAAGUUAAAGCUGCUAGUAUGUACUUUUGCCUUUGAAAUAUAGGUUUGGAUCUUGUCCUUCCUUCAAGUCUGAGAAUAAUGAACUACUAAGAGAGUUUUGUAUUGUAAACCAUGU